CUACGUGCCAGCAGCCGCGGUAAUACGUAGGGUGCGAGCGUUAAUCGGAAUUACUGGGCGUAAAGCGAGCGCAGACGGUUACUUAAGCAGGAUGUGAAAUCCCCGGGCUCAACCUGGGAACUGCGUUCUGAACUGGGUGACUAGAGUGUGUCAGAGGGAGGUAGAAUUCCACGUGUAGCAGUGAAAUGCGUAGAGAUGUGGAGGAAUACCGAUGGCGAAGGCAGCCUCCUGGGAUAACACUGACGUUCAUGCUCGAAAGCGUGGGUAGCAAACAGGAUUAGAUACCCUGGUAGUCCACGCCGUAAACGAUGAGUGCUAGGUGUUGGGUCCUUUCCGGGACUCAGUGCCGCAGCUAACGCAUUAAGCACUCCGCCUGGGGAGUACGACCGCAAGGUUGAAACUCAAAGGAAUUGACGGGGGCCCGCACAAGCGGUGGAGCAUGUGGUUUAAUUCGAAGCAACGCGAAGAACCUUACCAGGUCUUGACAUCCCUCUGACCGCUCUAGAGAUAGAGUUUUC
RNAcentral lists this ribosomal RNA (518 nucleotides) under uncultured bacterium. RNAcentral describes it as "bacterial SSU rRNA". It matches the Rfam family "Bacterial small subunit ribosomal RNA", at positions 501 to 1016 of the family's 1533-position model. The record is from RNAcentral.